RNAcentral lists this ribosomal RNA (445 nucleotides) under uncultured bacterium. RNAcentral's name for it is "SSU rRNA". It matches the Rfam family "Bacterial small subunit ribosomal RNA", at positions 26 to 518 of the family's 1533-position model. The record is from RNAcentral.
AGGACGAACGCUGGCGGCGUGCUUAACACAUGCAAGUCGAGCGCGUGUAGCAAUACACGAGCGGCAGACGGGAGAGUAACACGUGGGAACGCGCCCUUCGGUUCGGAAUAACUCAGGGAAACUUGAGCUAAUACCGGAUACGCCCUUACGGGGGAAAGAUUUAUUGCCGAAGGAACGGCCCGCGUCCGAUUAGCUAGUUGGUGAGGUAACGGCUCACCAAGGCGACGAUCGGUAGCUGGUCUGAGAGGAUGACCAGCCUCACUGGGACUGAGACACGGCCCAGACUCCUACGGGAGGCAGCAGUGGGGAAUAUUGGACAAUGGGCGCAAGCCUGAUCCAGCCAUGCCGCGUGGAUGAUGAAGGCCUUAGGGUUGUAAAGUCUUUAACGGGGAAGAUAAUGACGGUACCGUAGAAUAAGCCCGGCUAACUUCGUGCCAGCAGCCGC